CAACCGAGCGAAGUGAUGUGAAAUACGUCGGACGUGUAGUGAAUAGAAAACCCUAAUUAAUGCGGGCGUCACAAUGUCCCAAAAUUGACACGAGAUGGAUCCACAAUGUUUAAAUUCGACUCUGAUCGUAAAAACACCGAGCCAUUUCGUGGGGGCAUCUUAAGCCAUCGUAUGGCCGCCUAUGGAGUUUCUUAGCUUCGUGAGUGUUGGCAAAAUCUUUGGCAUGCCAAAUAAUUGCUGAAAGACCUUGGGUAGGUUCAUUUUCGUGUUGCAUUCGUGUGUCCAUUUUGCCCCCCAUCAGGCCAUCGUGAGGACAUCUUGUCAAAUCGUGUCAUCUUCGUCUUUACUUCGUGUGAACAUCGUUGCCAUUGGGCAUUUAUCUCCUCGCGAAGACAAUAAACACGAAUCUGCCCGAUAGUCGUAGGAAGGCAACACGACAACGCGAAAUCCUCGCAAUGUCGUCAUGUAGUACGAUGACAUUGAGAUGGGACCAAGGUGUUGGCGAAAACAGCCGAAUUUAUGUAGCUCAAGCGAUUCCUAUGUGCCAUGAUAACAUGGACAUGUGGAAGGCCAGCCUCAGAGUAUCUUCCUGUGUCAGUCCUGUAGUACGCAACAAAAUAGAGCUUAGACGUGUAGCCAUCGUGUGACCCUCGAGUAUAAACUAAUAUACAAAAUUCACAUCUUCGUGUGUGUUUUGGGCGCCACCGUGUGACCUUCAAUAGGCAACGCCCUGGUUUUGGCUGUUGAUGGGCGGUUGACCAAGUUCGGGGCAAUUUUCGCGCGAAAUUCAAAACUCCACAUCCUAUUUCCAUUUGGUGUUAAUUUCGGGACAGUUUGACACAAGCAUAAAUAAUAGAAAUAUUGCAAGUUUACCGGUAUACAGAAUUUCGAAUCUUAAUGAGAGACACCCCCGACCCCCGCCUCCCCCACCUACUGCAGAAGGAAGAAGCAAUUGCCAAUAGAAAGGCAAGGGGCAACCCCCUCUCUGUACGCGCCUGUGCUUCUAUGUAAUCUGAAGAAAAGACGAAUGGGACUCUUGUCAUCACCUACUGGAGCUCAUUGUCCAAUUACCAAAGAUUCCAUACUCUAUUUUAUUUGCCUAUCUUAUUUCAGGAGGAGGGGGAGGGGGAGGGGGCAUAGUGGGUUAACGCGUGCGUGUAAAAUUACCAGGUCUGUCAUUGAAUCAAGUGCCGUGUUUCGAAUCCCCGCUAGAAUGUGACAAGGAGUAGGUAGCCUGUCCAACUUCAUGGGUUUUCUCCGGGUCUUCCAGCCCCCUCACCCCCACCACCACCACUGCUAUAGACCCCUACGCGCAAGCGAAUUAUUCAAAUAAAGUUAAAUCAUAUGUUAGUCCCGAAAUGACCUAGUUUGUGUCGAUUGGACGUUUUACACCAUAUUUAUCUCUCUUUUAAUUCACGAACACACCAUUCCCCCUCAUACCCCCACCCCUAUGGAAGACCAAAGAGCUCUUUAUUUAGUGUUCCUAGUUCAUAAUUCAUAGUUCUUAGAAUUAAAAUUCUUUUUUCUUCAAUUAAUUUUUUUGUGGUACCUUAUAAUCAAUAUUUGUUUUACAAAUCAGACAUUCGUCAUAUCAGAUAUGUAAAUUGUAUAUUUGUUUAAUUUAAUUGUAUUUUAAUAAUAAAAUCCCAAAAUUGUAUUUUCAAUUCAUAUGAAACUUACAACGAAAAACAAAUCUCGAACAACAAAUUUCUAAAUACCAAUCUUGCAAAACGAAUGUCAGUAGUGCAGGACGGUGGGUCUAAUAAGGACAGCUGCCUACACUGAAAAAACACUUGUGUUGGAUCUCAACACAAGUACUUGUGUUAAAACUAAUCUACACAAGUUAUGUGUUGUUUUGCAUUGCAUUAACACAAACUUGUGUCGAUUUAUAAAAUCUUGUGUUUUUUUCAUAUCAUUAACACAAUUAAUGUGUACCUUCCAAGAUUUGUUUUCUUUUUAAAAAAAAAACUCCAUACAAAGUCUGAAUUCGGGAGUCGUCAAGUUUUAAGAAAAGUAAUAAAGGGCUUAAUUCACAUCUCGAAAAUCACAUGCUGUUCUUCACUGGAAGGGUGUGAGUACCAAUUAAUCAGACAAUUGCCAGACAGACUUGAAUGUUAAUUGAUGUUAAGUUGUCUGUAAAGUUAAAAUGUCUGUCUUUUUUUAUUGACCCAAUAAACUGAUAGAUCAGAUGAAUAUAUAGUGUACAUGUGAUUUUCAGCACCCUGGUGUUUUCGAAAAUUGAUUCAAUGUACAAUGAACAAAAAAAAUGAGUAAAACUCUUAAUAAUGUAAUUGGUUGAUGUAAUCGAAAUUGGACAGUAUUGGUUAACUGAAAAGUAACCAAUCAAAUUUAAUUGAUCAUCCACGUGUAUCUCAUAAUCGACUUAUUGAUAUAAUGGUUCUCCAAGUUAUCUAUACUUUUUGUCUGCGAUAUCACUUCGGUGGAAGCGGACGUAAAAUACAACUAACUAAGAAGAAGUAUCUAUACUUUAGUCAUUGCGACAAAUUCUUUCUUUGAUAUUAUAUCAGCGACAUUCAGUUAGAUAGAUGUAGUGAAGUUAGCACCGGAAGUCUAUUUAUAUAAUGGCGCUACAAAGAAAAUUUUUUUGAUGUGUUCUAAAAGUGUUCCGCUAAUUCAGCAAUCUAAUGAAUCUGUAUUAAUUUUUCUGAAAUCGUGCUUAAUUAUUAUUAGCUAAUCGGCGCUACACCGUUGUUCAAAUACUUAUAAUUUAAAGAAACCCCCGACUAGGACCAGCAGGUAAGAAUCUGUCUUGAUUUUAUAGUAAUACCCGGUUGCAAUUAUUGGCCGCCAUCUUUGAUUUUUAUAGACGUUCGGGCAAAAGGAUAAAUGUAUAUCCAGACAUGGACUAUAGCUAGAUACUAACUUUUGUGUUAGUUGUUUAGUUGAAAUGUAAUCUUAUUUCUGUAAAAGAAAAAAACAACAACAAACAAAUCAGCCUUUUUUUUAUAUCAAUGUCAUCAAUGUGUAGGCCUAAUAUUAGACUUUCAAUGAUUCAGAAGUUUCUCUACAGUUUCGUUAUUUUUUUUCCCAGUCAUUGAUGUUAGCAUGUACUACACAAAGAAAAACAGGCAAAUCAUGAAGCCAAAGGAAAUGUUUUUACCAAGGCAUGUUCCUCAAUAGCGGAGAGAGUUUUAUCCAGUGUCGGUUCUGCAGAAGAAUCCAUUCAUAGCAGACCACCCAUUGCAGCACUUGUAAGGUCGCUAUAAAGAACCCGACAGACUCUGCGACCAAAAGAUCCCACUGACGUGUCGUCAAGCCUUGACGAAGAUUUCAUCGAUCAUAGUGCACCGGGAUUUUAUCAAAAAAGAGUAAAAGUUGGGGAAAGGCGCCAUCACCUUUUUUGUACUGAUAGACAGAUGCAACUACUCGCACGCGCAAAAACUUGGUAUAUGGAUGCAACUUUUCGGGUGGUGAACAAGCUAUGGUCUCAGCUGUUUUCCAUACACGCCUUCAUUAAGACUGGAGAGACCACCCGACAGUUACCAUUGGUGUUUUGUGUAAUGUCGGGUAAAAGCCAAGACGACUAUUAUAAGUUUCCAUAUUAGAUGCCAUAGCAAAUCAAAGAUCAUAUUAUAAAAUAAGUCAAAAAACCCAAAUAUGGAAAAAGAAAGAGCUGAAGAAAUGGUGAUUUGAGCACCUAUGCUUUCUCAUAGGUGUUUUUGGAGGUUUCCAUAUUAGAUGCCAUAGCAAAUCAAAGAUCAUAUAAUAAAAUAAGUCAAAAAACCCAAAUAUGGAAAAAGAAAGAGCUGAAGAAAUGGUGAUUUGAGCACCUAUGAUUUCUCAUAGAUGUUUUUGGAGGUUAACUACAUCAGAAAGAUCAAGACAGUUGGAAAUGGCUAUUCAUAUUAUGGAAACUUUUUCUCACAGAGCUUGAUAAUCAGGUAAAAUGCUGGAAGAUUAUUUGAUGUAUGAUAACAACAAGAGAUCCCAAGCAUCAAUUUAUUUUAUAAUUCUGGAAAAGAAUGCAUUUGACCCAAUUUUUGAAUAUUUUUUUUUGUUUUUACUGUUAAAUAUUCAUCCCAAACACAAUUAGAUUUUAAUUCUCUACAGAAAUUUAUGUAUAAUACAGAAUGUAAAGUGACAUAUAAAUCACUUAGAAUUUGGUUGGAAAUCAUAAAGUAUUUAAUAGGCAUAGUCUAGAAACCAAAUGUAGAUCAAAUAUACCCAGAAUUACAAAAAACCUCGACCUACAUUAAGGUGACUUUCCCUUGCUUAUGAAAUGAAAUAGGGUUUAAUAUCCUACUUUUCUGUGUUAUUAUGGUGAUUCUGCCCUACAACCUACUCUUAUAUCAAAUAUUUCAUCCGUCAAGGGUUGUUUAAAGGGAACCCAGGAGGGCCGAAUGGUUAACACACGCACAUUGGAUCAGAAGGGUCUGUCAUUGAGUCAGAUAAUUCAAUUGUCAAGGGUUCUUUAAAGUAAACGCAGUGGGGGUAGUUUCAAUUCUGGGCUUAUACCCAAUUAUCCCUUGCCAUGUCCUACACUACUGACGUGUGGGAACUAUGUCGGAAAAUCCAGUUGAAAUUUCUCGGCCAAUGCACUCACUGAAUCACAGUGGCUGCUCCUUGCUUUUGACUUGUGAUUAUUUAUAUAUAUUUUGUACAUAUUAUUUAAUGUUUGCGAUUUUCUCUGAUAUUUUUUUAUUUUUCAAUCCUGUAAUCUUGAUGCUUUGCUCCUUUUAUGUACAAAAUAUUUAUUUUGUUUGAGGAAAAGGUUCUACAUCAUUUUAUUACUCCUGCAAAAUAGUGCAUUUUUCUUUUGUUAGUUUUCUGUGUAUGCUAGUUAUUUCUAGAUGCCUCACAAAUCACUUGUAAUAUGACUUUGUAGCACUUUUCAGUUUCUGAAAGUAUUUCAAUUUAGUGCAUAAUUAAUCUAAUUAGGGCUUGGUUUGGAUGUUAUUAAAUUUAGAUAUAUUUGAAUUAUAUAUUUUUGGGGUAUGGGGUAGGGAUCUUUCUUUUCUCAGUUCUUGUUUUCGGGUAAAGAAAAAAUUAAAUAGCUAUUUUGAAUUUUGUGAUGUGGGGGGGGGAGGGG
Molecule: long non-coding RNA, 5050 nt
Organism: Patella vulgata (common limpet)
Lineage: Eukaryota; Metazoa; Mollusca; Gastropoda; Patellidae
Exons: 7
Source: RefSeq, a predicted model, not a curated record